CAAGGCUGAGGUGUGAUGACGAGGCACUACGGUGCUGAAGUAACAAAUGCCCUGCUUCCAGGAAAAGCCUCUAAGCAUCAGGUAACAUCAAAUCGUACCCCAAACCGACACAGGUGGUCAGGUAGAGAAUACCAAGGCGCUUGAGAGAACUCGGGUGAAGGAACUAGGCAAAAUGGUGCCGUAACUUCGGGAGAAGGCACGCUGGUGUGUAGGUGAAGUCCCUGCGGAUGGAGCUGAGACCAGUCGAAGAUACCAGCUGGCUGCAACUGUUUAUUAAAAACACAGCACUGUGCAAACACGAAAGUGGACGUAUACGGUGUGACGCCUGCCCGGUGCCGGAAGGUUAAUUGAUGGGGUUAUCCGUAAGGAGAAGCUCUUGAUCGAAGCCCCGGUAAACGGCGGCCGUAACUAUAACGGUCCUAAGGUAGCGAAAUUCCUUGUCGGGUAAGUUCCGACCUGCACGAAUGGCGUAAUGAUGGCCAGGCUGUCUCCACCCGAGACUCAGUGAAAUUGAACUCGCUGUGAAGAUGCAGUGUACCCGCGGCAAGACGGAAAGACCCCGUGAACCUUUACUAUAGCUUGACACUGAACAUUGAGCCUUGAUGUGUAGGAUAGGUGGGAGGCUUUGAAGCGUGGACGCCAGUCUGCGUGGAGCCAACCUUGAAAUACCACCCUUUAAUGUUUGAUGUUCUAACGUUGGCCCCUGACCGGGGUUGCGGACAGUGUCUGGUGGGUAGUUUGACUGGGGCGGUCUCCUCCCAAAGCGUAACGGAGGAGCACGAAGGUUAGCUAAUCCUGGUCGGACAUCAGGAGGUUAGUGCAAUGGCAUAAGCUAGCUUGACUGCGAGCGUGACGGCGCGAGCAGGUGCGAAAGCAGGUCAUAGUGAUCCGGUGGUUCUGAAUGGAAGGGCCAUCGCUCAACGGAUAAAAGGUACUCCGGGGAUAACAGGCUGAUACCGCCCAAGAGUUCAUAUCGACGGCGGUGUUUGGCACCUCGAUGUCGGCUCAUCACAUCCUGGGGCUGAAGUAGGUCCCAAGGGUAUGGCUGUUCGCCAUUUAAAGUGGUACGCGAGCUGGGUUUAGAACGUCGUGAGACAGUUCGGUCCCUAUCUGCCGUGGGCGCUGGAGAAUUGAGGGGGGCUGCUCCUAGUACGAGAGGACCGGAGUGGACGCAUCACUGGUGUUCGGGUUGUCAUGCCAAUGGCACUGCCCGGUAGCUAAAUGCGGAAGAGAUAAGUGCUGAAAGCAUCUAAGCACGAAACUUGCCCCGAGAUGAGUUCUCCCUGAGACUUUAAGUCUCCUGAAGGAACGUUAAAGACGAUGACGUUGAUAGGCCGGGUGUGUAAGCGCAGCGAUGCGUUGAGCUAACCGGUACUAAUGAACCGUGAGGCUUAACCUU
RNAcentral lists this ribosomal RNA (1399 nucleotides) under Klebsiella pneumoniae. RNAcentral's name for it is "bacterial LSU rRNA". It matches the Rfam family "Bacterial large subunit ribosomal RNA", at positions 1551 to 2925 of the family's 2925-position model. The record is from RNAcentral. Lineage: Bacteria; Pseudomonadati; Pseudomonadota; Gammaproteobacteria; Enterobacterales; Enterobacteriaceae.